Molecule: ribosomal RNA, 507 nt
Filed under: uncultured Glomeraceae
Lineage: Eukaryota; Fungi; Glomeromycota; Glomeromycetes; Glomerales; Glomeraceae
Description: SSU rRNA
Rfam family: Eukaryotic small subunit ribosomal RNA
Source: RNAcentral
AGCAGCCGCGGUAAUUCCAGCUCCAAUAGCGUAUAUUAAAGUUGUUGCAGUUAAAAAGCUCGUAGUUGAAUUUCGGGAUCAGUACGCUGGUCGUGCCUUUGGUAUGCACUGGUGUCACUGGUUCCUCCCUUCUGAAGAACUGUCAUGCCAUUAAUUUGGUGUGGCGGGGAAUCAGGACUGUUACUUUGAAAAAAUUGAGUGUUUAAAGCAGGCUCGCGCUUGAAUACAUUAGCAUGGAAUAAUGAAAUAGGACGUUUUGAUUCUAUUUUGUUGGUUUCUAGGAUCGACGUAAUGAUUAAUAGGGAUAGUUGGGGGCAUUAGUAUUCAAUUGUCAGAGGUGAAAUUCUUGGAUUUAUUGAAGACUAACUACUGCGAAAGCAUUUGCCAAGGAUGUUUUCAUUAAUCAAGAACGAAAGUUAGGGAUCGAAGACGAUCAGAUACCAUCGUAGUCUUAACCAUAAACUAUGCCGACUAGGGAUCGGAUGAUGUUAAUUUUUUAAUGACUUC